AACUUUAACCAAAAUAGAAAUAAUCAAAAAUAAAUGCAAAAUUUAAAAGGAAGCUAAUUGAAACUUAUUUAAAAACUAGAAAUUUAAUCUUCGUGGCCACUCUGAAUCCCCCUAGCUCCAAGUCCACCAACUAGGGCUCACCUGCAAUGAUGGAAGAGAAAGGGGGUGAGUUUGGAAAACUCAGUGUGUAUGGAAAACCC
RNAcentral lists this long non-coding RNA (200 nucleotides) under Gossypium barbadense (sea-island cotton). Its description in RNAcentral is "long non-coding RNA (GBAR_LNC011535)". Lineage: Eukaryota; Viridiplantae; Streptophyta; Magnoliopsida; Malvales; Malvaceae. The record is from RNAcentral.